RNAcentral lists this ribosomal RNA (394 nucleotides) under uncultured bacterium. RNAcentral's name for it is "bacterial SSU rRNA". It matches the Rfam family "Bacterial small subunit ribosomal RNA", at positions 362 to 773 of the family's 1533-position model. The record is from RNAcentral.
UUUUCGGCAAUGGGCGCAAGCCUGACCGAGCAACGCCGCGUGGAGGAUGACGGCUUUCGGGUUGUAAACUCCUUUUGGGUGGGACGAUAAUGACGGUACCAUCCGAAUCAGACCCGGCGAACUACGUGCCAGCAGCCGCGGUAAUACGUAGGGGUCGAGCGCCGUCCGGACUUACUGGGCGGAAAGCGUGGGUAGGUGGCCACUGAUGUGCCGUGUGAAAGCGCCGCGCUUCUCGCGGCGAGGUCGCGAUAGACACAGUGGCUCGAGGCACGGAGAGGGGCGUAGAAUUCCCGGUGUAGUGGUGAAAUGCGUAGAUAUCGGGAGGAAUACCAGUGGCGCAAGCGGCGCCCUGGCCGUGACCUGACACUGAGCCACGACGGCGUGGGGAGCAAAC